Molecule: non-coding RNA, 21 nt
Filed under: Arabidopsis thaliana (thale cress)
Lineage: Eukaryota; Viridiplantae; Streptophyta; Magnoliopsida; Brassicales; Brassicaceae
Source: RNAcentral
UGGUUUAGGGUUUGCUUCGAG